UAGCUAGUUGGUAGGGUAAAGGCCUACCAAGGCGACGAUCGGUAGCUGGUCUGAGAGGAUGGCCAGCCACACUGGAACUGAGACACGGUCCAGACUCCUACGGGAGGCAGCAGUGGGGAAUAUUGGACAAUGGGGGCAACCCUGAUCCAGCAAUGCCGCGUGUGUGAAGAAGGCCUGAGGGUUGUAAAGCACUUUCAGUGGGGAGGAGGGUUGAUUGGUUAAGAGCUGGUUAAUUGGACGUUACCCACAGAAGAAGCACCGGCUAACUCCGUGCCAGCAGCCGCGGUAAUACGGAGGGUGCGAGCGUUAAUCGGAAUUACUGGGCGUAAAGGGUGCGUAGGUGGUUUAUUAAGUUAUGUGUAAAAUCCCUGGGCUCAACCUGGGCAGGUCAUAUAAUACUGGUAGACUCGAGUAUGGGAGAGGGUAGUGGAAUUUCCGGUGUAGCGGUGAAAUGCGUAGAGAUCGGAAGAAACACCAGUGGCGAAGGCGGCUACCUGGCCUAAUACUGACACUGAGGCACGAAAGCGUGGGGAGUAAACAGGAUUAGAUACCCUGGUAGUCCACGCCGUAAACGAUGUCAACUAGCUGUUGGUUAUAUGAAUAUAAUUAGUGGCGC
This 616-nucleotide ribosomal RNA is filed under the name uncultured Legionella sp. Its description in RNAcentral is "bacterial SSU rRNA". It matches the Rfam family "Bacterial small subunit ribosomal RNA", at positions 242 to 849 of the family's 1533-position model. The record is from RNAcentral. Lineage: Bacteria; Pseudomonadati; Pseudomonadota; Gammaproteobacteria; Legionellales; Legionellaceae.